This 253-nucleotide ribosomal RNA is filed under the name uncultured bacterium. RNAcentral's name for it is "partial 16S ribosomal RNA". It matches the Rfam family "Bacterial small subunit ribosomal RNA", at positions 524 to 776 of the family's 1533-position model. The record is from RNAcentral.
UACGUAGGGGGCAAGCGUUGUCCGGAAUCAUUGGGCGUAAAGCGCGUGUAGGCGGUUCGGUAAGUCUGCUGUGAAAGUCCAGGGCUCAACCCUGGGAUGCCGGUGGAUACUGUCGGACUAGAGUGCGGAAGAGGCGAGUGGAAUUCCCGGUGUAGCGGUGAAAUGCGCAGAUAUCGGGAGGAACACCAAUUGCGAAGGCAGCUCGCUGGGACGUUACUGACGCUGAGACGCGAAAGCGUGGGUAGCAAACAGG